GGGUGGCAAAAUAUAAAGAAAUGUCUACAAAAUAUCUGUCUAUGUCAUGCUGAAAAAGUCAAUAGCGCUGCUCACCAAUCUUUCUGGUCCUAUCUCAAGACACACCAUAGGAUUGAGUUUCCCUGCAUUUUUAAAGUUGUUUUGACCAAUGAAAUGUGAGAAAUGUCAUGCAGUGAAGUAUUCCAACUGGACUGAGCAAUUACGUGAGUAGUAUUCUGACAUUCAAUGGUUCAAAGGAGUUAAAAUGAAAGAGACUGAGGAAAUUAUCCUCCGAAAUGGUCUCACACAGCUUUUCAUCUGCAGAUACUCGAUAUACAUGCAAAUCAUUUAAGAAAAGCAGAUUUUGAAACUGACCAUGGGAGAAAGAUAUGGAACUUUUCAUCAAUUUCAGAGUUAAUAACAGCAUUAACCUGGAAAUAACAAGAACAUUGAAGAGAACAUUUAAAACAUGUAACAUAAGCCACGCAGGUGGAGCAAAAGUCAACGUAAUUACAUAGUUAAGAAAAUUUAAAACAUAGAUGAAAGGACAUUAUUAUAAAAUCAGGGACAGCUUAGAAGACAGUUUGGAAGGGGAAAAUCUUAGCAAAAGGCAAUAGAAAACACAAAGAAGAAACACGAAAGAUAACGUAACAAAUGCUGGAUCAGCAAUUUAACCCAACAUCAAGCAGUUCCAGUUGUAUUGUACAUUAUUUGGUCUGUUUUCCUCCAAACUUCUCCAGCAAUGCUGAUGAAGAUUGUAGAAACAAUUGAGUCACAAGAGAAACUAGGGAAAUAAUGGAAGUGUAAAGGCGUUUAAGAACAGCAAAUUUCUCUUUUGCUUAUGUUGAAAUCCAAGCAGGAAGAGAGACCUUUCCAGUAGGGAGAGAUUCUAAAAAACUGAAUAUACAAACUAUGGAGAGGAGGGAAUUGAGUAAAAUCAUGUCUCUGAAUGGAAAUAACAGAACUUUUUGGGUUAAUGAAAAAAUUAUAUGAGGGAAGAUAGAAGCUGACCUAUAGUUUAGAAAGCAGUUUCUAACAUGUAAUCAAAAGGAAAGGAGAAAGAAAGAAUACAAUCUUAUGGAUGUUUUUCCAGAAAGGUAGAAACAUUGCAGAAUCGACAUGUAUUUUAAGAAGACCAGAAAACUUGUCUGUAGAAGAAAA
This 1140-nucleotide long non-coding RNA is filed under the name Equus caballus (horse). RNAcentral describes it as "lncRNA (ENSECAG00000044564.1)". The record is from RNAcentral. Lineage: Eukaryota; Metazoa; Chordata; Mammalia; Perissodactyla; Equidae.